This is a long non-coding RNA of Camelus dromedarius (Arabian camel), 3040 nucleotides long. RefSeq lists it as uncharacterized. Lineage: Eukaryota; Metazoa; Chordata; Mammalia; Artiodactyla; Camelidae. The transcript is spliced from 3 exons. The record is from RefSeq and is a predicted model, not a curated record.
GGCCUGGGGACGCUGCGGGUCGAGGUCGGGGUGGGCCUGGAACCUCUGGCGGAGGACGUGGACUGGCACCGGCCCCCACGGCCUCGCAGUCUCUGGCCGGGUCCCUGGGCUACGCUCCCACCCUCACCCACCACGAGCCCUCCCUGUGACCUCGUCUUUACAGUCUGGGAAACAUGCCGACCACAAAGGGCAUAGAUUUCUUUACUUACUGGCCCCUUCCCGGGCGCAGAAUCAGCAGAGACAAGUGGUCCCUGCCGUCAUGGAGCUGGCAUCCUGGUGGGCAGAGACAGGCAGCAAACAAACGCUUACAUACACAAAGAAGAUAAUUUCAGGGAGUAAUAAGUGCUAGGAAGAAAACUAGCAGGUGAAGUGAGGAAUAGGGGCUACUUAGCUGGGUGUGAGAGGAGGAGGCCCAGUGAGUGCGGAACUGACUGCCAGGAAGGAACCUGCCACGUAGAGCUGGGAAGACCCUUCCUGGCCAAGGCAAGAGCAAGUGCAAAGGCCCUGAGGCAAGAGAGAGCUUGGUGCCUAACCAGCAACUGGUGGAGCAGUGGACAUGCUGAGGGCAGAGCCAUGUGGGGGCCAAGGUCUUCAGGGCUCCAGGGCCUGGUGGGGAAUCUGAAUGCAAUUCCAGGGCCGUUGGCAGAGCUUAAGCAGAGGAAUAUUGAAUGAAUGAGUGAAUGAACCUGCUGUGAACUUACAGACUCACUGAUAACUGCCACCCCAAGGCUUCCACUCUGCACAGCUCAGGCAGAACGCCUCCCAUUCCCACCCAGCCUCUGGGGUCUGUUGGUCCUAUGAGUGCAGGAGGGGUGUCAAGGUGUCAGAGCUCCCAGGUGACCUGGACUGGGGGCAAGUUCCCCUACAGAACCUCUGCUUCCUCCUCUGAAAGGUAAGGCAGUGCAGGGGACACGGUGCCCUUGCUCUGUGACAGGACUGUACCCCUCCACACAUUGUCCAUUUGACCUGACAGCCCCUCUGUGAGGCAGAUGGUCACAUUUUGUUCAUGAGGAAACAGGCACAGAGUGGUGGUCAUCUGUCCAGGGUCUCAGGCUAACAUGAUAGAGCCCUGUACCCAGAGCCCUUCCCACCAGCUCAGCCACCCACCACCCAGGGUGAUGUUAAGGGCCAGACAAAAGCGGGGUCAGAGGGUGAGCGGCAUUGUUUCAAGCUAGUUUUAAGCACAGCUUCCCGGGGAGACAGACCUGGUUUCUAAGUCCGGCUCCUCCGUGCCCAGCUGGGUGGCUUUGGAAAAACCAGUUCACUUGCUAAGCUUCAGUCCCGUCUGUAAGAUGGGAGUAAUCAUAGCAGCUCCUUCCUGGGGUCUCCGCGAGGGCUGAACGAGGAAAGGCGUGUGGAGCAUUUAGCCCAGAGCCAGGAGGCUGUGAAUACUGUUGGUGCUUCAGGUCACAGGCCAGACGAGUGGGGACGGUCCCCUUCACACAUCUGGGGCCUUCUAGCCCCUGCCGUGUCCAGUGUCUGGGGAGGGCCUAGGCAAGACCUGCACCAGGCACCUCAGCAGCCAUGAGAAGAGGGGCUUCCCUGGGGGAGGAUACUAACAACUGCCUUUUGGGAGCAGCCGGUGUGCGUGUAUGGGCGUCCUCGGGCAGCCGUGACAAGUGACCACAGAUUCAGUGGCUUACAGCAGCGUGGAUUUGUUCUGUACAGUUCUGGUGGUCGGAUGUCCCAAACCAGUGUCAACGGGCUGAGGUCAAGGUGUCAGCAGGGCUGCACCUCUGAAGGCUCCCGGGGAGAGUCCUGCCUGUUCCAGCUUCUGGAGGCCACCUGCAUUUCGUACCUUGUGACCCCUUGGCGACCUCUGGAAGCCAGAAAAGGCAAAGAAAUAUGGCUUCUGUUGUCACAGCCCCUGCUCCCUCCCUGACCUUCUUGCCUUCUCUUACAGGUUCCUGUAAUUCCUUCAGGGCCCCUGGAAUCCAGGAGACUCUCCCAUCUCAAGAGCCUUAAUUUCAUCACACCUGCAAGACUCUCCGCCCCCUCCUUUUUUUUUUUUUUUUUUUUGCCACAUAAAGGAGCAUUCAUGGGUUCUAGAGAUGAGGACCCGGAUAUCUUUGUGAGCCAUUGUUCAGCAGCACACUCCAUGCCUUCUCUUAACGCUCCCUCAUCAUGACUCAUUUUACAGAUGAAAGAAUCGAGGCUCAGAGAGAAACCUCUGACCGUCCUUCCUGGGACCUUGGAGGACUAACUCCUUCCUCACAGUCUGCACCAUGUGCCCUGUGCUCUCCGGGCCGCUAAGUCUGGGGACGUUCAGUCACUUUGUGAAGCGCCACGUUGUCCUUCACGCUGGGGGUUCUCGUUCCUGAGGCGGACUGACGCAGCCGGACAGGGCCUCGACGUGUCCACCGCCUUGUGCAGGACCCAGGGGUUCUCCGACAUCCCUCCCAGCAACUUCGAGAAAUUCUACGACUUUGGCAAGAUGUGAAGAAGGCCUCUGUCGCCGACUUGCCUUUUACUGCCAACACGGACAACCAGUGUGCGGCUGCUGGGGCCCCGUUGUCAGAAUUAGCUGGAUCAGCCCAGGACUGGUUGCAUCAGAGUUACGUUAGGGAAGGGCGGAUUUCCACUCGUCUCAGCCAUUGUGUGUCUCCGUUACAGAGCCUUUGUUCCACCUCAGACACUUUGGCUUUUGGUGGUAAUAACACCUUGGUUUUCCUGGGGAGGGGGGCUGUUCCUUCCCACUUUCAGCCCAUGUGGUUCAGCCUCCACCAACACGACCUCUGGGUUGCAGAGAUGCUCGUGUGAUUCUGGUUUAAUCAAUCAAAGUGCCUCAUUUACCUGGCCACAGUGACGGGUCCAAGGAUGGCCACAUGAUCCAAGCCCUCUGGCAGUUUUGCUAGAAGCCUUGAGCAUUGCUGGAACCUCCAGGGGGUGCUAAGCUGGUUAGUUGUGGACCUGAGAAUAAAGUCAGUCUUAUAGGAAAGCAGUGCAGAACCACACACAGAGACUCCAGCUGGGCACCUGGAUCCAGCUAUGCCUGAAGCUCAGACACUCUGGACUUUCAAUUACACACAAGCCAAUAAAU